Molecule: ribosomal RNA, 253 nt
Filed under: uncultured bacterium
Lineage: Bacteria
Description: partial 16S ribosomal RNA
Rfam family: Bacterial small subunit ribosomal RNA
Source: RNAcentral
GACGGAGGAUGCAAGUGUUAUCCGGAAUCACUGGGCGUAAAGCGUCUGUAGGUGGUCAAAUAAGUCAACUGUUAAAUCUUGAGGCUCAACCUCAAAAUCGCAGUCGAAACUAUUAGACUAGAGUAUAGUAGGGGUAAAGGGAAUUCCUGGUGUAGCGGUGAAAUGCGUAGAGAUCAGGAAGAACAUCGGUGGCGAAGGCGCUCUGCUGGACCAUAACUGACACUCAGGGACGAAAGCUAGGGGAGCGAAUGGG